This 468-nucleotide ribosomal RNA is filed under the name uncultured bacterium. RNAcentral's name for it is "partial 16S ribosomal RNA". It matches the Rfam family "Bacterial small subunit ribosomal RNA", at positions 28 to 507 of the family's 1533-position model. The record is from RNAcentral.
GACGAACGCUGGCGGCGUGCUUAACACAUGCAAGUCGAACGGAAAGGCCCUGCUUUUGUGGGGUGCUCGAGUGGCGAACGGGUGAGUAACACGUGAGUAACCUGCCCUUGACUUUGGGAUAACUUCAGGAAACUGGGGCUAAUACCGGAUAGGAGCUCCUGCUGCAUGGUGGGGGUUGGAAAGUUUCGGCGGUUGGGGAUGGACUCGCGGCUUAUCAGCUUGUUGGUGGGGUAGUGGCUUACCAAGGCUUUGACGGGUAGCCGGCCUGAGAGGGUGACCGGCGACAUUGGGACUGAGAGACGGCCCAGACUCCUAUGGUAGGCAGCAGUGGGGAAUAUUGCACAAUGGGCGGAAGCCUGAUGCAGCAACGCCGCGUGCGUGAUGACGGCCUUCGGGGUGUAAACCGCUUUCGCCUGUGACGAAGCGUGAGUGACGGUAAUGGGUAAAGAAGCACCGGCUAACUACGUG